CAGACGAUGCGUCAUGCAUAUCAAUAAGCGGAGGAAAAGAAACUAACAAGGAUUCCCCUAGUAACGGCGAGUGAAGCGGGAAGAGCUCGAAUUUGAAAUCUUAAAGGGUUUCCCUUUACGAAUUGUAGUUUAAAGAAGUGUUUUCUGUUGAGGUUUUGGUAAAAGUUCUUUGGAAUAGGACAUCAUAGAGGGUGAGAAUCCCGUAUUUGACCUUUACUUUCAACUUUGUGAUACACUUUCAAAGAGUCGGAUUGUUUGGGAAUGCAGUCCAAAAUGGGUGGUAAAUUUCAUCUAAAGCUAAAUAUUGGCGAGAGACCGAUAGCGAACAAGUACCGUGAGGGAAAGAUGAAAAGAACUUUGAAAAGAGAGUUAAACAGUACGUGAAAUUGUCAAAAGGGAAGCGUUUGACACCAGUGUUGUUUUUCUGAAAAUCAAUUAAAGAACUGUUUAUGCUAAGCUGUUUAGACUUUAUCAGCUAUCUGUUUAGUUUUAAGCUUUUCUUUAAUGCACUUUUCAGUUAACAAGUCAACAUCAAUUUCUUUUGCUGUAAAAAAGCUUGAGGAAGGUGGCUUGAGAUUCGUCUUAAGUGUUUAUAGCCUCUUGCCUAUGCAGUCGGAGAGAUUGAGGUCUGCAGCGUAGAUCCUUCGGGGCUAAAUGCAUUUGUGCUAAGUUAUAGCAUUUCAUAGACAACUUGUUGACUAUGAUUUGUCUUGUAGCUUACUCGCUUAUGUUAUUUUACCUACGCUUAGGAUGUUGACACACGCGCGUGCUCG
This 773-nucleotide ribosomal RNA is filed under the name uncultured Neocallimastigales. RNAcentral describes it as "partial large subunit ribosomal RNA". It matches the Rfam family "Eukaryotic large subunit ribosomal RNA", at positions 18 to 643 of the family's 3401-position model. Lineage: Eukaryota; Fungi; Neocallimastigomycota; Neocallimastigomycetes; Neocallimastigales. The record is from RNAcentral.